UUGACCUCGAAUCAGGAGGGACUACCCGCUGAACUUAAGCAUAUCAAUAAGCGGAGGAAAAGAAACCAACAGG
RNAcentral lists this ribosomal RNA (73 nucleotides) under Metarhizium anisopliae. RNAcentral describes it as "partial large subunit ribosomal RNA". It matches the Rfam family "Eukaryotic large subunit ribosomal RNA", at positions 1 to 72 of the family's 3401-position model. The record is from RNAcentral. Lineage: Eukaryota; Fungi; Ascomycota; Sordariomycetes; Hypocreales; Clavicipitaceae.